RNAcentral lists this ribosomal RNA (254 nucleotides) under uncultured bacterium. RNAcentral's name for it is "partial 16S ribosomal RNA". It matches the Rfam family "Bacterial small subunit ribosomal RNA", at positions 524 to 777 of the family's 1533-position model. The record is from RNAcentral.
UACGUAGGGUGCAAGCGUUGCCCGGAUUUACUGGGCGUAAAGGGCGCGUAGGCGGACAGUUAAGUUGGGGGUGAAAGCCCGGGGCUCAACCUCGGAAUUGCCUUCAAUACUGGCUGUCUUGAGUGCGGGAGAGGUGUGUGGAACUCCGAGUGUAGAGGUGAAAUUCGUAGAUAUUCGGAAGAACACCAGUGGCGAAGGCGACACACUGGCCCGUUACUGACGCUGAGGCGCGAAAGCGUGGGGAGCAAACAGGG